AACUUUUGGCAACGGAUCUCUUGUCUCUCGCAUCGAUGAAGAACGCAGCGAAAUGCGAUACGUAAUGUGAAUUGCAGAAUUCAGUGAAUCAUCGAAUCUUUGAACGCACAUUGCGCUCUCUAGUAUUCCGGAGAGCAUGCUUGUUUGAGUAUCAGUAAAACACCCUCAAUUCUCUCGUUUUGGGGGGAGAUGGGACCUGAGAGCUCCCAACAGCGGUUUAAAAACCCGCUGGCGGGUCGCUUGAAAUGCAGGUGCGGCUGGACACAUCUUCUGAGCUAUAAGCAUUACUUAUUUAGUCCCGUCAAACGGAUUAUUUCUAUUGCUGCAGCUAACAUAAAGGUUGAUUGUCCUGUGCCCGACUGAUGCAGGAAAACAAAGAGAAAUCUUUGUUCAACUCGAUCUCAAAUCAAGUAAGACUACCCGCUGAACUUAAGCAUAUCAAUAAGCGGAGGCU
RNAcentral lists this unclassified non-coding RNA (454 nucleotides) under uncultured fungus. RNAcentral's name for it is "sequence contains ITS2". The stretch from base 1 to 154 matches the Rfam family "5.8S ribosomal RNA". Lineage: Eukaryota; Fungi. The record is from RNAcentral.